UUCUUUGCCAUUAUCUGACCUCAAGAUCUUAAUUGUACAUCCACUUUGCUUUUCAACUAAGGCUUUGAAUUUUUUGAACACACUGAAUACUUGUGCUUUGCUCCUAAUGAAAUACACCCAAGUCAUUCUAGUUAAAUCAUCUAUAAACAAGAUGAAAUACUUAUUUUGACUCAGGGAGGGCACACUCAUAGGGCCACAAACAUCAGUGUGCACUAGCUCUAAUUUCUCUUUGGCUCUCCACAUUGAAUCACUUGGAAAAGAUUGCUUAUGAAGCUUACCAUACUGACAACUAUCACAAAUCUCACCACUGACACUUAUAGUAGGAAUAUCCCUCACCAUACUAUGAGUUUGCAUAAACUUCAGAGAAGCAAGAUUAAAAUGCCCAUAUCUCUUAUGCCACAACCAAGUUUCGUCAACCUUUGAACUAUAAACAUGCUGAUUCAAGCUUUCAGAUAUUAAUGGAAAACUAUUUUCAACCAUUUUAACCUUAGCAACUUCACAAUUUUCAGAAUCACGA
Molecule: unclassified non-coding RNA, 517 nt
Filed under: Hevea brasiliensis (rubber tree)
Lineage: Eukaryota; Viridiplantae; Streptophyta; Magnoliopsida; Malpighiales; Euphorbiaceae
Source: RNAcentral